AACAAACUGUUCACUAAAUCCCUAGAAUUGUUGUUCUAAAACGAGUGCUUCUCACGAAGAAUACUUUGUUGUUUUUAAGGUCUUCCUUUUUAUAGGUUUUAAAAAUAUAUAGGCUCUUUGAUCCACCCAAUAUUCUAAAAAUCACUAACAGUCCUUUUAUUUUCAUCCCUAACAUAACUAGCUAGCUAAAUUGAAAACCAUAUCAUAUCAUAUACUACCAAAAACAGAGUGGCUAAAAACCAAGAAAAAAAUUAGUAAACUCAUUCCCAAAGAUGAUUUACCCCAUAAUUCACUCCAUCAUGUAUUUUAUCAAGAAAUUAAGGUAUAUAUAUACCAAAGAAGUAGCCUUAUUUUUUUCCUUUCAUUUCCACGUUUAAAAGCAUAUGCAAACGUAAGUUGAAAAUAGUUAUCAUCUUCUUAAACGUGAUUUGUCUUGUGGGUGCAGAAACUCGCCAUGAGCAUGAACCUUACGCUGAACGGCUGAAGUGUGGAGCUUCCUUUGGGCAUGGGUGGAAUUGGAAAAUAGGUAAUGAAACCAGUGAGAGAUCCAUAUUUGCAUUUUGGUUUUUACUUGCUCUUGCUUUCUCUUCUUUUAUCAUCUAUUAAUAUAUUUUCCUUAUUGUUUAAAACUAGCACUAACUUGCUCGUCUAUCCAUUUUUAUUUUAUUUUUUGGUCAUGUCAUCUAGUUGUAAAAAAUUCACCCUUAAAAUAAAUAAGUGAAUAAUAUGAAGUUCAAACUCCGAUCCUUACAUACUAUAAUAUGGUGUUCAAUUGUAGAUAAAAAGAGAUGUUGUUUUUUACAAUAUAUAUUAAAAUAAUAUUUUAAUUAAAUUAUGAUGUUCCUAUUUUACUGAGACUUUACUAUUUUUGAGUUAAUAAUUUAAUUUUUAUGUUGUUCAUACUUAAUGAGAUUAAAUAUUUUUUUAAUUAAUAAUUUCAAGAAUAAAGUAAAAGGGGUAAAAUUAUAAAUAUAAAUGAAGGAUAAACUUGAAAAAGUAAGCUCAAAUUUUUAUUAUUUUUUUUUAUUUAGUAUAGAUAUAUAGAAGUAUUUGGUAGGUCACAACCCCAAAUAAAAAGUGUUUGCACAUGUAUAAAGUUGAACAUCAUUUAACUAUAGUAAGAAAUACAUUAUUUAAUUAUAAUUUUUUUUACAUUUUUUCAGUUUUUGAGCUAUGAUAGAAAGUAUUUGGAUCAAACGAAAUGAAAUUUGGCAAUAGUUUGGUUGGAGUAUCAACUCCCUUAUAAGCAACCAACUGUAUUUUUCUCUAUACUUACAAUUUUAUUCUUCAGGAAGAAGUCAUUGUCAUAGACUCAUUUAAAAAAAAUUGCAUUUCUUCUUAUGCAGGUACCGACUAGGGCGCAUCCUUGAGUAGUUUGCUGAGAAUUGAGUGCUCUGCUUUGUGAUCACACUCAAAUUGCAAGCAAAAUGACUCAAUAAAAUCUAUCAGCGAGAAUAGCUGCAACUAAUUAAUAAAACUACAUUUGUUACAACAUCGAAAUGGUGAUCAAUUGCAUAGGCAUGAACAAUCUUGUUUCCUAAGCUUCGACAUUAAUGCUAGAGUAUAAGCUUCACAACUGUUGUAAAUAUCAUGAUAGAGUACAACCAUAUAUUAGUUGUUGAGCUGUCCUCUUUUCACUAUGCCAGCUUUUAAAUAUCAUGGUAUAAAUUGUAACCCUACAAAUAUAUCUGAGAUAGAUGGAUUAGGGAUUAAUUGCAAGUAGAGUAUUGGUCAAAUAUAUUUGAUAAAAUUGUCUCGAAGGGUCUUUAUUAAUUGUUUGGGUGGG
Molecule: long non-coding RNA, 1786 nt
Filed under: Medicago truncatula (barrel medic)
Lineage: Eukaryota; Viridiplantae; Streptophyta; Magnoliopsida; Fabales; Fabaceae
Description: long non-coding RNA (MTRU_LNC001452)
Source: RNAcentral